UACAGAGGGUGCGAGCGUUGUCCGGAAUUACUGGGCGUAAAGCGCACGUAGGCGGCUUUGCAAGUCAGAGGUGAAAGCCCGGGGCUCAACCCCGGAAUUGCCUUUGAGACUGCAUCGCUAGAAUUGUGGAGAGGUAAGUGGAAUUCCGAGUGUAGAGGUGAAAUUCGUAGAUAUUCGGAAGAACACCAGUGGCGAAGGCGACUUACUGGACACAUAUUGACGCUGAGGUGCGAAAGCGUGGGGAGCAAACAGG
RNAcentral lists this ribosomal RNA (253 nucleotides) under uncultured bacterium. Its description in RNAcentral is "partial 16S ribosomal RNA". It matches the Rfam family "Bacterial small subunit ribosomal RNA", at positions 524 to 776 of the family's 1533-position model. The record is from RNAcentral.